CUGCCCCAAAGACCCGGAAGCAAUGAGUAAGAGCGGCCAGGAUGCGGGAGGGUCCCAGAGGACGGUGUCAAGGGAGCUCACAAAGCUGGGGGCGCCACUUCAGCUAGAGGUGUGAGUGACCACCCUGGUGGGAAAAAGAGGGAUCCCUGGAAGGGGUCAGGGCGGCGCCAGGAAACCGCUCUGGACCAGCUACGGGGAGCCGGGAGGGGGCGCUCUUCCCCGGACGCGGCUCCGCGCGCGCUAGAGGGGUAAAGAGCUGUAUUUUGUGAGGUUCCGUCAGGAUCUAGAUGUACAUCAGCUCACUUUGGACAAGUCAUUUUCUGCGGUGCAAACACCUCUAUUACCUUUCAGAUAUUUUCAUCUUAAAAAUAAAAGAACUUAAGAGGUGUA
Long non-coding RNA from Bubalus bubalis (water buffalo), 390 nucleotides. RefSeq lists it as uncharacterized. The record is from RefSeq and is a predicted model, not a curated record. The transcript is spliced from 2 exons. NCBI's taxonomy places the organism in Eukaryota, Metazoa, Chordata, Mammalia, Artiodactyla, Bovidae.